Molecule: non-coding RNA, 2895 nt
Organism: Parasteatoda tepidariorum (common house spider)
Lineage: Eukaryota; Metazoa; Arthropoda; Arachnida; Araneae; Theridiidae
Source: RefSeq, a predicted model, not a curated record
AAAAAUAUUUAAAAUCUAAAAUUGCAAAAAACCCUAAAAACGUAUUCUAACGAUUUCAUUUAUUGAAAUAUUUCAUUUUUGGAGCACGAUUUCACGUAAUGAUCUAUUAAAGUAGCUACUCGACUAUGGGGCUGUUAACCAGAAGUAUGCAAAGGAAAGUAGGCUUUUGUUCUUCUAAAUUCUUCUCGAGAUUUUAAUAAUAUUUAUAAAGAAUAGGAUUUAUACGAAUCACUGAGCAAGUGCCCGAAUCUUACAACAAUUAAAUCAACAAUUAAAUCAAUCAAAUAAUUAACAGUUAAAUGUCCUCUUAUUUUUGUUUUAGUUGAAGUUAUGCGCAAAGUUAUUUUUAAGUGUAAACAUGUAAAAUAUUUACGUUCUUGUUUUUAUCCUGUAAUCUGUAUAUUAAAUCUAAAUAUGCAUUUUCCCCUUAAUUUCUGAGAAUCAUAGUAAAAGUGAAAAGAAUUAUUCUAAAAAUAUCAUUUCGGAUGAAUGAUCAGAUUUCGAUGUUGAUCACUUCAGUAAAAAAUAAAAGUGUUUAUUCCGAUUAUGCGUUUUCGGACUCGGAAGAUGAUCUCACUUGUACAGAAAUGUACCGUAAAAACGAAGAAGAAAAUCAAAAUCAUAUAAAUGUUGUGUCUACUAAUAACAUUGAUAAUCUUAGAAAGUGGGAUAAAAAGCAUUACAUAUUUUGUGGGAAUCAAUUUUCAAAACUACCUCGUCAUUUCGAAAGUAUUCAGUCCAGUUCUUAAUGAGAUUUAAAUCGAAUGGAACAGAAAAAAAAAAAGAAGAGAUGACCAACUAAUGUUAUUAAGAAAUAGAGAGACGCCUAAACAUAACAUUGAGGUUAUGAAACAAGGGAAAGGUGAUCUUAUAGUCGCCUAUCGACCUAAAGAAUCAGUAAAUCCGGAAAACUAUAUACCGUGCCCAGGUUGUUUUGGGUGGUAUGCGAAAAGAGACAUUUGGAAGCAUAAGUGCCCAUUUAUACAACCUGGUGCAAGGCUGUUAAGUGAAGGACGAAUGCUAAUACCCACAUACAAUGCAGUGGCUGAAAAUAUUAAACAGUUACUGACCAGAAUGCGGCAAGAUUAAGUCUCCCUCGCAAUUUGAACAGACUAUGUCAUUCUUGAGUACAUUCGGAGGUUAUAUCACAAAAAAGGAGACCAACCUCAUCGACAAAAUGAAAUACGCAAUAAUGCGAGGGAAAUGGGAAGACUACUCUUACAGAUGAGGAAAGUAAAAAAUAAAAAUUCAUGCUCCAUAAUGGACGUAAUUGAUCCAGCCCAAUUUAAAAACAUUGUUGAAUCUAUUAAAAUAAUAUCAGGAAUGAGCUUCUCUGCAUCUUGCAGAUCAACUCCUGAGCUAGCUCGAAAGUUGGGCAUUCAUAUCAAAGCUUGUGCCUCCAUUGUAGUGGGGAUGUCGAUUGAGAGAGGAGACAAAAUUCUACGGGAGAGGGCGGACCCUCUUCAAUAUGAACUUUAUAACUGAAAUCGGUGCUGAAGCCAAGUGAAUUCUAAAUAAAACUAAGAGAAAUAAAGAAGAGCUUAUUCCUUUUAUCUCAGAUAUCUUAAAACUGAACUCUUAUAUGAACUUUAUAACUGAAAUCGGUGCUGAAGCCAAGCGAAUUCGAAAUAAAACUAAGAGAAAUAAAGAAGAGCUUAUUCCUCUUAUCUCAGAUAUCUUAAAACUGAACUCUUAUUUGAACUUUAUAACUGAAAUCGGUGCUAAAGCCAAGCGAAUUCGAAAUAAAGCUAAGAAAAAUAAAGAAGAGCUUAUUCCUCUUAGCUCAGAUGUCUUAAAACUGAACUCUUUUCUAAAAAACUAAAUCAGAGGAAUGCCUCCAUCGCAUCGAAGGCAGAGGAAUGCCUUCGAAGAUAAGGAUAGUCUCCACCACAGAAUACUUUCCGCUUUUUCGGAGUUGCAAAAAGUGACUUUAAAACAAAUCAUAGUAUUCAAUCGAAGGAGAGAGGGAGAAGUGUCAAGAAUCAAAAUAGAGGACUUUAAAAAAAAUCAAAAGCUCAGCCGAAAGGUCUGACAUAGGAAAGAAUCUUUCAAAAAAUGAAAGAGCUCUAUGUAAAAUCUUGACAAGGAUGGAAAUACAAGGGAAGGGGGAUCGAACUGUCCCAGUUUUGCUAACACCAUCUGUCCGUAAAGCGAUUGAAGUGUGCUUGCAGAACAGAGCUGGGGUUAAUAACUUAUUUGCAAGCCAUUCAAAUCUAUCACUAUCAGGGAACGGCUUGUCUCCGCAAAUAUUCUGAAGAAUGUGGAGCAUCUCGCCCUGAUAGUUUAAGGUCUACUAAACUGAGAAAACAAAUUGCCUUACUUUCGCAGAUAAUUAAUUUAAAAAAAAAAACGUGAGAUGGAUUCCUUUGCGUCAUUUAUGGGGCAUGAUAUAGGAAUACAUAGAGAAUUCUACCGGUUGCCUAACGAUAUCAUCCAAAUCGCCAAGACAUCAAAGCUGCUUCUUUUCUUAGAUCAAGGGAACCUGCAUAAAGAGGGUGGUCAAACCUUGGAUGAAAUCCAGUUUUCAUUGGAUAACGAUUCAGAAGAAGAUGAUGACUACUUUUUAGGAAAAAAAUUUGAAGAAAAAAAUAAAGGUGUCAAGUCAAGUUAGGCAAAGAAAAUACGGAGCGAUGAUCGAAGAGAGGCAGUUGAAAAACAUUUAGGACAUUACAUAACAGGAGGCAAGUUACCAGGGGCAGACGCGAUUCCUAGGUGUAUCUCAUCUGAGAAAAGUUUACAGCAUAGGACUUGGCGGAAUGUUAAAGACUUCUGUCGCAACUGAAUCAGAAAGACAUUAAAAUAAAAUUUUGUGGCAUUAAAAAAAAUUAAAAUCUGUCUUUAGUUAUAUGAUUCGUUACAUUUAUCUGCACAACUAUUUAAGUAAUUACAUUCACA